This 260-nucleotide ribosomal RNA is filed under the name Spumella elongata. RNAcentral's name for it is "partial Bacterial small subunit ribosomal RNA". It matches the Rfam family "Bacterial small subunit ribosomal RNA", at positions 315 to 567 of the family's 1533-position model. The record is from RNAcentral. Lineage: Eukaryota; Chrysophyceae; Chromulinales; Chromulinaceae.
GGGACUGAGACACGGCCCAGACUUCUACGGGAGGCAGCAGUGGGGAAUAUUGGACAAUGGGCGCAAGCCUGAUCCAGCCAUACCGCGUGGGUGAAGAAGGCCUUCGGGUUGUAAAGCCCUUUUGUUGGGAAAGAAAUCCAGCCGGCUAAUACCUGGUUGGGAUGACGGUACCCAAAGAAUAAGCACCGGCUAACUUCGUGCCAGCAGCCGCGGUAAUACGAAGGGUGCAAGCGUUACUCGGAAUUACUGGGCGUAAAGCG